AUUGAACGCUGGCGGCAGGCUUAACACAUGCAAGUCGAGCGGAGAGAGGUAGCUUGCUACUGAUCUUAGCGGCGGACGGGUGAGUAAUGCUUAGGAAUCUGCCUAUUAGUGGGGGACAACAUUUCGAAAGGAAUGCUAAUACCGCAUACGUCCUACGGGAGAAAGCAGGGGAUCUUCGGACCUUGCGCUAAUAGAUGAGCCUAAGUCGGAUUAGCUAGUUGGUGGGGUAAAGGCCUACCAAGGCGACGAUCUGUAGCGGGUCUGAGAGGAUGAUCCGCCACACUGGGACUGAGACACGGCCCAGACUCCUACGGGAGGCAGCAGUGGGGAAUAUUGGACAAUGGGCGGAAGCCUGAUCCAGCCAUGCCGCGUGUGUGAAGAAGGCCUUAUGGUUGUAAAGCACUUUAAGCGAGGAGGAGGCUACUUUAGUUAAUACCUAGAGAUAGUGGACGUUACUCGCAGAAUAAGCACCGGCUAACUCUGUGCCAGCAGCCGCGGUAA
This 501-nucleotide ribosomal RNA is filed under the name uncultured bacterium. RNAcentral's name for it is "partial 16S ribosomal RNA". It matches the Rfam family "Bacterial small subunit ribosomal RNA", at positions 30 to 523 of the family's 1533-position model. The record is from RNAcentral.